This 486-nucleotide ribosomal RNA is filed under the name uncultured bacterium. RNAcentral describes it as "partial 16S ribosomal RNA". It matches the Rfam family "Bacterial small subunit ribosomal RNA", at positions 29 to 507 of the family's 1533-position model. The record is from RNAcentral.
AUUGAACGCUGGCGGCAUGCUUUACACAUGCAAGUCGAGCGGCAGCGCGGGGGCAACCCUGGCGGCGAGCGGCGAACGGGUGAGUAAUGCAUCGGAACGUAUCCUCGAGUGGGGGAUAACCCAGCGAAAGUUGGGCUAAUACCGCAUGAGCUCUGAGGAGGAAAGCGGGGGACCUGCGAGGGCCUCGCGCUGGAGGAGCGGCCGAUGUCCGAUUAGCUAGUUGGUGGGGUAAAGGCUUACCAAGGCGACGAUCGGUAGCUGGUCUGAGAGGAUGAUCAGCCACACUGGGACUGAGACACGGCCCAGACUCCUACGGGAGGCAGCAGUGGGGAAUUUUGGACAAUGGGGGCAACCCUGAUCCAGCGAUGCCGCGUGAGUGAAGAAGGCCUUCGGGUUGUAAAGCUCUUUCGGACGGAACGAAAUGGGCGGGACUAAUACUCCGGUCUGAUGACGGUACCGGAAGAAGAAGCACCGGCUAACUACGUG